Molecule: small nucleolar RNA, 262 nt
Filed under: Tinamus guttatus (white-throated tinamou)
Lineage: Eukaryota; Metazoa; Chordata; Aves; Tinamiformes; Tinamidae
Description: Small Cajal body specific RNA 6
Rfam family: Small Cajal body specific RNA 6
About the family: U88 is small Cajal body specific RNA (scaRNA). scaRNAs are a novel class of small nuclear RNAs which localise to the Cajal bodies. U88 is found associated with both fibrillarin and Gar1p and co-localises with coilin in Cajal bodies.
Source: Rfam by way of RNAcentral
GGUCUGUGAUGGACAGUAAAAGGUCUGAUUAUCCGAUGGGUGCUCAUCCCUGACCCCAGCUCCCAGCAGUGUCUCGCUGGUCCUGCCGCAGCGAUGGGGCGCCUGGCAGAGUCCUUGCUGACAGCCUGUGAUGUGUCCAGCUCAUGUCGACCUGGAGUGUUGGAGACAUGGCUGUAGUCCACAUCCAACAGUCCCACCUGAAGGAGUUUGGGGUCUUGGGCUGUUAUAUCUGGACAUGUGAUCUGACUUGUGUGCUGAGACC